Ictalurus punctatus (channel catfish) is the source of this 431-nucleotide long non-coding RNA. Lineage: Eukaryota; Metazoa; Chordata; Actinopteri; Siluriformes; Ictaluridae. The record is from Ensembl.
AGGAAAGGGGAGAGCUUUUCAAAGAGCUGGGCUAGGAACUUUUGCAACUCUCUGGAAUGAGAAAGGAAAAAGGCAAAAGGAGCAGCAGCAACUAGUCCAGCAUGAUGUCAGAGUGGCUGUCAAAGAGGAUUUUUACUCUCGCGCAGGUGUAAGUGGGUGGUUUUUACUCUCAUGCAGGUGUGAGUGGGUGGUUUUUACUCUCAUGCAGGUGUGAGUGGGUAGUUUUUACUCUCGUGCAGGUGUGAGUGGGUGGUUUUUACUCUCAUGCAGGUGAGUGGGUGGUUUUAACUCUUGUGCAGGUGAGUGGGUGGUUUUAACUCUCGUGCAGGUGAGUGGGUGGUUUUUAUUUUCAUGUGAGUGUGAGUGGGUGGUUUUUAUUCUCAUGCAGGUGAGUGGGUGGUUUUUAACUCUCAUGCAGGUGAGUGGGUGUU